AGUGAACGCUGGCGGUAGGCCUAACACAUGCCAGUCGAACGGCAGCACAGUAAGAGCUUGCUCUUACGGGUGGCGAGUGGCGGACGGGUGAGGAAUACAUCGGAAUCUACUUUUUCGGGGGGGAUAACGUAGGGAAACUUACGCUAAUACCGCAUACUACCUACGGGUGAAAGCAGGGGAUCUUCGGACCUUGCGCGAUUGAAUUAGCCGAUGUCGGAUUAGCUAGUUGGCGGGGUAAAGGCCCACCAAGGCGACGAUCCGUAGCUGGUCUGAGAGGAUGAUCAGCCACACUGGAACUGAGACACGGUCCAGACUCCUACGGGAGGCAGCAGUGGGGAAUAUUGGACAAUGGGCGCAAGCCUGAUCCAGCAAUACCGCGUGAGUGAAGAAGGCCUUCGGGUUGUAAAGCCCUGUUGUUGGGGAAGAAAAGCAGCAGGUUAAUACCCCGCUGUUCUGACGGUACCCAAAGAAUAAGCACCGGCUAACUUCGUG
Molecule: ribosomal RNA, 492 nt
Filed under: uncultured bacterium
Lineage: Bacteria
Description: partial 16S ribosomal RNA
Rfam family: Bacterial small subunit ribosomal RNA
Source: RNAcentral